UUUUUUCCUAGAAAACACCACAAAUAUCGGUUCUUAAGAAGGACACGAUUCAAAAACAAUAGGCAUAGGAGGACAGCUUUAAAGAGUAGUGUACGUUAUGAUCAAAAAAAAACCUUCAUUACUUGAAGAGAUUUCAAAGGAAUGAACGUGGCUGUUUUACUUGCGUUAUGCUCAUAAAUAUAAGGCGCAUUGAAGAAGAAAAUAACGUUACCUUGAAAAGAUGAUGGAUGACUUGUUGAACGGAGAUUUGUUGAUGAAACCAUUGUUUUUGUAUAGAAUCCAAUUUGGUGAGAUGCUGAAUUUUUCUGUUCAAAUAAGCCUCUUGAUCUUGUAAUUCUUGUGUGGAUAUUCUACAAUGAUUCUGUGAUCAUUCAAAUUUUUUUUCUUCUAAUCUACUUGAGAAGGCACACACUUUGGUGCAGGGCGUUCAUAGUGUUGGUGAGAUUUUCCUUUUUGUCAUGGAGUCUUUUUUUCAAAAACGUUACAACAGAACGAAGCGUCGACUCCAUUUCAACGGUGACUGGAAACAAGGCUUCCUCUAAUGUUUCCUUCAAUACCUUUUGUAGAGAACUCGCUUGAGACUGCAUGUCGCUUGUGUCUUUGGAUUUCGAAAAUUGUUCAAGUGAAUCAGAAUGCAAUGGAGACUGAGAUAAGCUCGGAAUCAAGGCUGCACUGGAAAUCGGUAGGUCCGAAAGACUCGAGUUUUGGGUGGUUCUUUUUAAUGAUUGGGUGUCAAAAGAAUCAUGAGGGACGUUUUCCACAAAGUCAGUGCUUUUGUGGGGCUCAUUUUUCCUCAUGUCCAGUGGAGUAUUGUGGCACGGCGUCCUGGUUUGAUUAAUAGCGUACGUUGAAACAGUAGGCGUUCCAUUGAAAUCUUUAUUUUCCGCAUUGAUUUGAUCAUGAAUAUCAGAGUGGCAAGGGGUCGACUCGGCGUUACUUAAGGAAAAAGUUUGUGUGAAAGACGCGUUGGGUCCGUCCGUCGUACAAAAGGGUGCUGUGUUUUGUGACUCUUGAGGAGAAACAAGUUGAGUGAGUGUUGUUUUUUGUUUUUUUCUGAAAAAAGUAAACAAAUACAUUAAGAAGAAUGGGAAAGUUGAUCUUACACAAUCACCAACCUAUCAAGUUUUUUUAAAGUGCUACUACAAGUAUAAAACGGGUAACUAAUAUAAGCGGUCAUAGAACACACGGUCACUAACACAAGCUUUGGUAGCAUUUUACCCUUCUUGGAUCUCUUACUGCUUGAAAAGACUGCUUGAUCUUUUCUUUUUAAAGGUACUGAGCGUACGGAUGGCGCAUUGAAUUUCCUGAAAACUUUUUGAAAAAUAUUUCUUCGUCCGUGCGUCAACCCUUUCAAAAGAAGGUCCAUUGUUCUUUUCACAAAAAAUAUAAAGUGACGGGUUUUAAUUGUAUGGUGCGUUCGUUUUGAAAAAUUGGAUCAAGUAGAUGAUUUUGCAAAGUUGGUUCAAUCCAUCAAAAAAAAAAUUAUCUUUUGUCCGAAAUGGAAAAAAAACAACCGUGUACAGUUGAAUUGAACAAGUGUGUUUUGUGAGAGAAACAAAAGCAACACGACUAGAAUUUUUCUUUCCCUAGCCACUUCAAGUCCAAAAACAAAAUAUGCGUAGUUGACUUGAACUCACACUACUAACGUUUAAAAAUUUGUCAAACUUAUGUGUUAUCAAGAUUUUUUUUUUAA
Hylaeus volcanicus is the source of this 1693-nucleotide long non-coding RNA. RefSeq lists it as uncharacterized. The transcript has 3 exons. NCBI's taxonomy places the organism in Eukaryota, Metazoa, Arthropoda, Insecta, Hymenoptera, Colletidae. The record is from RefSeq and is a predicted model, not a curated record.